This 484-nucleotide ribosomal RNA is filed under the name uncultured bacterium. RNAcentral's name for it is "partial 16S ribosomal RNA". It matches the Rfam family "Bacterial small subunit ribosomal RNA", at positions 28 to 507 of the family's 1533-position model. The record is from RNAcentral.
AUUGAACGCUGGCGGCAUGCUUUACACAUGCAAGUCGAACGGCAGCGCGGGCUUCGGCCUGGCGGCGAGUGGCGAACGGGUGAGUAAUCCAUCGGAACGUGCCCAGUAGUGGGGGAUAGCCCGGCGAAAGCCGGAUUAAUACCGCAUACGACCUGAGGGUGAAAGCGGGGGACCGAAAGGCCUCGCGCUAUUGGAGCGGCCGAUGUCGGAUUAGCUAGUUGGUGGGGUAAAGGCUUACCAAGGCGACGAUCCGUAGCUGGUCUGAGAGGACGACCAGCCACACUGGGACUGAGACACGGCCCAGACUCCUACGGGAGGCAGCAGUGGGGAAUUUUGGACAAUGGGGGCAACCCUGAUCCAGCCAUGCCGCGUGCGGGAAGAAGGCCUUCGGGUUGUAAACCGCUUUUGUUCGGGAAGAAAUCCUCUGGGCUAAUACCCCGGGGGGAUGACGGUACCGGAAGAAUAAGCACCGGCUAACUACGUG